GUCUAUGAGCAUGCCACCCUUAACAUGCCCAAUCGCGUCUGAUCUCGGAAGCUAAGCAGGGUCGGGUCUGGUUAGUACUUGGAUGGGAGACCACAUAAGAAGACCAGGUGCUGUGGGCA
Pteropus alecto (black flying fox) is the source of this 119-nucleotide non-coding RNA. The record is from Rfam. NCBI's taxonomy places the organism in Eukaryota, Metazoa, Chordata, Mammalia, Chiroptera, Pteropodidae.